Molecule: ribosomal RNA, 406 nt
Filed under: uncultured bacterium
Lineage: Bacteria
Description: partial 16S ribosomal RNA
Rfam family: Bacterial small subunit ribosomal RNA
Source: RNAcentral
AUUGAACGCUGGCGGCAGGCCUAACACAUGCAAGUCGAACGAGUGGCGGACGGGUGAGUAAUGUCUGGGAAACUGCCUGAUGGAGGGGGAUAACUACUGGCAACGGUCGCUAAUACCGCAUACCCUCAGAUGUGCCCAGAUGGGAUUAGCUUGUUGGUGGGGUACCUGCGCACCAAGGCGAAGAUCCCUAGCUGGUCUGAGAGGAUGACCCGCCACCAUGGACCGGAGACACGGUCCAGACGCCUACGGGAGGCAGCAGGGGGGAAUAUUGCACAAUGGGCGCAAGCCUGAUGCAGCCAUGCCGCGUGUAUGAAGAAGGCCUUCGGGUUGUAAAGUACUGUCAGCGGGGAGGCGUUACCCGCAGAAGAAGCACCGGCUAACUCCGUGCCAGCAGCCGCGGUAAUUC